AAAUGAGUUGCUUCAGCAGAAAACCGAGGUCACGAGAAUAGCGACUUCACUAAAACUGGCUUCUGAAGACGCUAGGAGAAUUGUUGACGAAGAACGAACUAAUGCACGCAUGGAGAUUGAAAAUGCUAGAGCUGUUGUACAAAGAGUUCAAAAAGUACUUAAAGAGAAAGAGAACAGUUCACAAAGAAUUAGAAAGCAGUUGCAGCCCACCUAAUAGGACUGCUUGAUUCCGUCGAGUAUGGAAAAAGUGAAAGGUAUUUUACGGUC
This is a long non-coding RNA of Triticum dicoccoides, 267 nucleotides long. RefSeq lists it as uncharacterized. The record is from RefSeq and is a predicted model, not a curated record. Lineage: Eukaryota; Viridiplantae; Streptophyta; Magnoliopsida; Poales; Poaceae. The transcript has 3 exons.